This 505-nucleotide ribosomal RNA is filed under the name uncultured bacterium. RNAcentral's name for it is "partial 16S ribosomal RNA". It matches the Rfam family "Bacterial small subunit ribosomal RNA", at positions 28 to 507 of the family's 1533-position model. The record is from RNAcentral.
GACGAACGCUGGCGGCGUGCCUAAUACAUGCAAGUCGAACGCACAGGUUAUACCGUAGCUUGCUACACCAUAGACUGUGAGUUGCGAACGGCUGAGUAACGCGUAGGUAACCUGCCUGGUAGCGGGGGAUAACUAGUGGAAACGAUAGCUAAGACCGCAUAAUCUUGAUUAUUGCAUGAUAAUUGAUUGAAAGAUGCUAUUGCAUCACUACCAGAUGGCCCUGCGUUGUAUUAGCUAGUAGGCGAGGUAACGGCUCACCUAGGCGACGAUACAUAGCCGAACUGAGAGGGUGGUCGGCCAACCUGGGACUGGGACACGGCCCAGACUUCUACCGGAAGCAGCAGGAGGGAAUCUUCGGGAAUGGGCGGAAGUCUGACCGAACAACGCCGCGGGAGUGGAGAAGGUUUUCGGGUCGGAAAGCUCUGUUGUAAGGGAAGAACGAGUGUGAGAGUGGAAAGUUCACACUGUGACGGUAACUGACCAGAAAGCAACGGCUAACUACGUG